Molecule: unclassified non-coding RNA, 580 nt
Filed under: Sedum guatemalense
Lineage: Eukaryota; Viridiplantae; Streptophyta; Magnoliopsida; Saxifragales; Crassulaceae
Description: partial contains external transcribed spacer and 18S ribosomal RNA
Rfam family: Eukaryotic small subunit ribosomal RNA (bases 528-580)
Source: RNAcentral
UAGGCGGCCUUUUAGCCAUGUCUGUCGAUCGAUUUGAUUUCAAGUUGUCCGGCCCGUUAAAAAUUGUCCCGUUAAAAAUGUUCAAAUCGUUGGCACUAUGGUUAGAUCGACGCGUUGACGUGUGAGUGGCCGUUUGAAUGUGUGUGUCGGCUGGCUCCCUGCUUGCGCAGCGAACAGUCGGCGCAUACAUAUUUCAGUCGAGACGGAGUUGAGCGUUGGGAUUUUGUGUUGAUUCCCAUCUAAUGGUACUUAAUUGACCCGAAUGCGUUACUACGCCGAGCACCCCCGGGGUGCCAGGCGUACCUUGAAGCUGCCCCUUUUGUCUCCAUGCUCUCCCUUUUCGGGAACAGUGGGCAAUUGGCGGGAUUGCUUGUUGGCUCGGAAGCGGAUCAUGAAGCGAGCAUGAUGCUUGUCAUUAUCGCUCAUUAAGAGCUCUCGGUCGCUCGGAAAGAAAGACCGCCGCGCUUGGUUUCGGCUGACGACUCGUCGAUCCAGCUCGAAACCUUGCCGACGUCUUUAAUGAAUGCUACCUGGUUGAUCCUGCCAGUAGUCAUAUGCUUGUCUCAAAGAUUAAGCCAUG